UUCAGAUUCCCUGGGAGGAUGUUGUGCUGAUCUUCAUGGACCACAAACUGAAAGACUGGCAGCCGCCCGGACCUCCUGCCUGUGGAGACACAGUGACCGAGGACGGCGAGAUCCUGGUUUACUUCCCCACAGCUUCUCUGGAGGGUUUCAGACCUCCUGAAGAGUGGACGCAGGCCGUGGAAAAAACCCACAGAGAGAAGCAGCAGCAGCAGGAGAGGGACGGAGCGACUCAGGCUCCCUGCGCGCCGCCUCCG
This is a long non-coding RNA of Fundulus heteroclitus (mummichog), 254 nucleotides long. RefSeq lists it as uncharacterized. Lineage: Eukaryota; Metazoa; Chordata; Actinopteri; Cyprinodontiformes; Fundulidae. The record is from RefSeq and is a predicted model, not a curated record. The transcript is spliced from 3 exons.